Molecule: long non-coding RNA, 630 nt
Organism: Vulpes vulpes (red fox)
Lineage: Eukaryota; Metazoa; Chordata; Mammalia; Carnivora; Canidae
Source: Ensembl
AGAAGACUCACCACACUGGCUCACUAUCUUCCCUCCUGCUUAUGGUCAGGGGGCCCAGACAUAUUCCACUGAAACAAGUGUUUCACUACCUUAAGUGAAUGCAGACAUAUUCGGUCCCCAGAACUGUCAUCACUCUGGGGUUCUCAAAUGACUGUCUCUGCUCUCUUGUCUGGCACAGAGUGGGGAAAAGUCCUAGGCAGGGAUAGGCAGGGAAUUGUGAGCCCUGAAACUGGCCUUUCUGUCCUCUGUUCCAUUAGAAUGCAGAAAUAGCACCAAGCCAUCUUCUGUUCUACAGAUAUGGAUGGAUGUCUUCCUAGGACAUGGCUGAGCAGUUCUAUAGAAUAAACCUGGAGCUCUUAGUGACUCCAUGGAGAAGAGUUGCACAACAACCCUGAGGGAAUGCACCUGGCAGCUUGGAAAAAACUUACCAUCAUCAAUUUUAGGAAGUUUCUGACCCCUACCUAUAGCGUGGGUGGCUGCGUGGAUGGUGUUCUGUUAAAAACAGCAGAAGUGACUGUCUUUCUCACGGACUGCAAAAAUAAUAUUGAGUUCUUUUAAAUCUGUGAGAAAAAGAAAAUACACUUAUCUGCAAUGGAUAAUAAAAGGUAUCAAAUCAAUAGAAAAUUCUCA